This 1248-nucleotide ribosomal RNA is filed under the name metagenome. RNAcentral describes it as "bacterial LSU rRNA". It matches the Rfam family "Bacterial large subunit ribosomal RNA", at positions 1634 to 2874 of the family's 2925-position model. The record is from RNAcentral.
AUAUACGACCGUACCGCAAACCGACACUGGUGCGCGAGAUGAGUAUUCUAAGGCGCUUGAGAGAACUCAGGAGAAGGAACUCGGCAAAUUGACACCGUAACUUCGGAAGAAGGUGUGCCCUAUUAGUGUGUAGUGAACAACGAAGCAUGAAUGGGUUGCAAAAAAUCGGUGGCUGCGACUGUUUAUUAAAAACACAGCACUCUGCAAACACGAAAGUGGACGUAUAGGGUGUGACGCCUGCCCGGUGCUGGAAGAUUAAAUGAUGGGGUGCAAGCUCUUGAUUGAAGUCCCAGUAAACGGCGGCCGUAACUAUAACGGUCCUAAGGUAGCGAAAUUCCUUGUCGGGUAAGUUCCGACCUGCACGAAUGGCGUAACGAUGGCCACACUGUCUCCUCCUGAGACUCAGCGAAGUUGAAAUGUUUGUGAUGAUGCAAUCUCCCCGCGGAAAGACGGAAAGACCCCAUGAACCUUUACUGUAGCUUUGUAUUGGACUUUGAACAGAUCUGUGUAGGAUAGGUGGGAGGCUUUGAAGCAGGGUCGCUAGAUCUUGUGGAGCCAAUGUUGAAAUACCACCCUGGUGUGUUUGAGGUUCUAACCUAGGUCCAUUAUCUGGAUCGGGGACAGUGCAUGGUAGGCAGUUUGACUGGGGCGGUCUCCUCCCAAAGCGUAACGGAGGAGUUCGAAGGUACGCUAGUUACGGUCGGACAUCGUGACGAUAGUGCAAUGGCAUAAGCGUGCUUAACUGCGAGACUGACAAGUCGAGCAGAUGCGAAAGCAGGACAUAGUGAUCCGGUGGUUCUGUAUGGAAGGGCCAUCGCUCAACGGAUAAAAGGUACUCUGGGGAUAACAGGCUGAUACCGCCCAAGAGUUCAUAUCGACGGCGGUGUUUGGCACCUCGAUGUCGGCUCAUCUCAUCCUGGGGCUGUAGCCGGUCCCAAGGGUAUGGCUGUUCGCCAUUUAAAGAGGUACGUGAGCUGGGUUUAAAACGUCGUGAGACAGUUUGGUCCCUAUCUUCCGUGGGCGCUGCAGAUUUGAGGAAGCCUGCUCCUAGUACGAGAGGACCGGAGUGGACACACCUCUGGUGUAUCGGUUGUCACGCCAGUGGCAUUGCCGAGUAGCUAAGUGUGGAAGAGAUAACCGCUGAAAGCAUCUAAGCGGGAAACUCGUUUCAAGAUGAGAUCUGCCGGGGCCUUGAGCCCCCUAAAGAGUCGUUCAAGACCAGGACGUUGAUAGGUCAGGUGUGGAAGC